Molecule: ribosomal RNA, 772 nt
Filed under: uncultured bacterium
Lineage: Bacteria
Description: bacterial SSU rRNA
Rfam family: Bacterial small subunit ribosomal RNA
Source: RNAcentral
GUCGAGCGAGGGAACUCUUCGGAGUGGAACUAGCGGCGGACGGGUGAGUAACACGUGGGCAACCUGCCUCGUAGAGGGGAAUAGCCUUUCGAAAGGAAGAUUAAUACCCCAUAAUAUUGCAACUUCGCAUGAAGAAGCAAUUAAAGGAGUAAUCCGCUACGAGAUGGGCCCGCGUCGCAUUAGCUAGUUGGUAAGGUAAUGGCUUACCAAGGCGACGAUGCGUAGCCGACCUGAGAGGGUGAUCGGCCACAUUGGGACUGAGACACGGCCCAGACUCCUACGGGAGGCAGCAGUGGGGAAUAUUGCACAAUGGGGGAAACCCUGAUGCAGCAACGCCGCGUGAGUGAUGACGGUCUUCGGAUUGUAAAGCUCUGUCUUCAGGGACGAUAAUGACGGUACCUGAGGAGGAAGCCACGGCUAACUACGUGCCAGCAGCCGCGGUAAUACGUAGGUGGCAAGCGUUGUCCGGAUUUACUGGGCGUAAAGGGAGCGUAGGCGGAUUUUUAAGUGGGAUGUGAAAUACUCGGGCUCAACCUGAGUGCUGCAUUCCAAACUGGAAAUCUAGAGUGCAGGAGAGGAAAGUGGAAUUCCUAGUGUAGCGGUGAAAUGCGUAGAGAUUAGGAAGAACACCAGUGGCGAAGGCGACUUUCUGGACUGUAACUGACGCUGAGGCUCGAAAGCGUGGGGAGCGAACAGGAUUAGAUACCCUGGUAGUCCACGCCGUNNNCGAUGAAUACUAGGUGUAGGGGUUGUCAUGACCUCUGUGCCGCCG